GGCAUUGAGCUGUAGGACUUGGAAUUUAAUACGUCUAUUCCUCUGGCAAUUUACCUCUGCCAAUGGCAAGGAGGUUAUGUUUUCAAUGUUGCUUGUCUGCCUGUAAGCGGGGUUAAACAAAAACUACUCAUUAUUUCUUAAUGAAAAUUAUUAGAAAAUUGUAGAAUAGACUAGGAAAGUAUUAAAUUUUGAGAACCAUCCCAAAAGAAAUGAUUGAAUAAUGGCAAUUAUAGUAUAAAAUAAAUGACUGACUGAAUGACUCCACUGAUAGGAGGGGUUCAAAAGUGAAAGAUGGAUGAAAGUCUUGGGGUGACAGCACCAAAAAAUUCCUCAAUUCAUGCCAACAAGAUGCAAAUCUAAUGAUCACAUCAUCAAGAUGGUGGAAAAUAAACACUGAACAAGAUAUGCUGAGGCGCUUCCUUUCAGCAGAAAAUAUUUUUUUUUGAGAAAAUUGACACAUAGAGACUUCACAUAUCUUUAAAGUUGCUGAUAUUGUCAAGAACAAUAUACUGAAAAUCAGUGAUGACAAGAUCCUACUGUAAUCAUUAUGUAUGAGAAAAUUGUUGAUCAUGGAUUGUACACAAAAAAUGUGAUUAUACUGUUCCAAAAAUUCAAUAAUUAAUAUUGUAGGGACAACAUAACUCUUCAUCAGCUAUAACAAAUAUAAUUUAUAUGUAUAGAAGAAUAACCCAUCGCUUCUAGCCGGCACACAGACAAAGGAUUGCACCAUAUAAAUAUCUUCCCCCCCCCCUCUACCCCCUCAACCCCAGUCCUUCAUCAUAACAAAUUUUUCUCUCUCUCUCUCUCUCUCUCUCUCUCUCUCUCUCUCUCUCUCUCUCUCUCCUGCCACACCAUGCAUUCCAUACAUUUAACCACCUAAAUCACUCAACAAAUUAACCCUGUCCCGUACCAUGACGCGAUUCGCUUCAAAACGAAAUCGUCUACAACUGAGCUAUUGACUCGAAUCGUGUCAAAAAAAGUAUCUUUCAGAAUCGCAUCAAAAUUUUAUGCAUCAAAAAUCCAAGCUUGACCUAUAAAAUAAACUAAUCAUCAACUCUCAUGCCGUUGGAUUUGAAGUGAUAAAUGCCCGUGGCUUUGUUGCCUCUUGGCAGACAGCCUGUGAGCGGGGACUGUCAUCCCUUUGUGUCCAGAGCCUGGUAAGCCUAGAUUAUAGUUGUCAGACGAAAUUGGUGAAAUUUAUUCUUACUUUUGAUGUCGAGUGAUCGUGCCGCGAUACAAUAUUUUGUUUUAUAUUCAGAGGGACCAGUAACUGUUACUAUUAGAAAAUAUGGUUUAGAAAUUAUCAAGUGAAAAGAUUUUGAGACCCAUUUGUACAGAGCAUGAUAAUGAUUCUCAUGAAAGUGAUGGUGAUGAUGGAAAAAGUGAAAAAAACUCCAGCAGAGAGUGUUAGGGAGAGAGACUUAGAGGCAAUCAUUAUGAUUAUUUUUUGCGUCUGGCGAAGUUCUUCCAGACAGCAAAUAAUCGUUUUGUUAUUGUUAUCAAAAACUAUUCCAGCCAAAAUUGACUUCUAUUUUGACCGCCUUGACCUGCCCGUUGUGUUUUGAUUGAUGCCCUUGAGCUGUUUCUUCUACUGGAGAGAACAGAAUAGAUAGAAAAAUAUAGUUUCCCUCCAUUUUCUCGAGAACUACUGGUUGUAUGAAAAUUCUAAUGAUAGCGUUGGAAUCCUCAUAAAAAUACCCUUUUAUUGGCAUAUAAAUCAUAAAAAGUCGAUUCAGGAUGUUUUGAGCUACGAGGUGGUGAACGUAAGGAUUUUUUAUUUAUCUUUGAUCAAUGUUUUUAUCGGAGUCGGUAAACUUCGCUAUUUAUUUGCAUUUCUUGAUAUUGUUUUCUUUCAUAAAGCAGAAUAAUCUCUUCCAAAACCAACGAUGUAAUAAUGCCAGGAAAAAGAAUACUCGUGGAUGAAAUCGAUAACAUGAAAAAAAAUUUCACCGCAUGCUCAGGCCAUUUCGCGAGGUCCCUUAGGAAGCCCCAGACGGAUGUCGCAGUGGAAGGAGAAACUUAUUAAACUUUUUGUGCAUGAAAGGGUUAAAUGACUUAAAUUUGAAUGAUAUUUCAUUUUCAAAUCUUAUCAUGUGCAUAUCAACAAAAUUAUGAACUUGUAUUCCAUUAACCCCCAAACUUGGAGUACUUGUUCACGUGCCAUACAGGUUAUUUUAGUAGGUGCCGAGCACUAAAGUUAAUUAGUUUCAGGUCAAUUACUCAAAAACCAUCACUCCAAUCAGAUUUAUUUUGGUUUCACUAGAUUCAGCUUACAGGUAACUCGAAUUACGUGAGUUUGGUUUACGCGUUUUUGAAAUAAAUACGUUUUUUUUCACUUAUACGCGAUAUUUUAUGGAGUGGCCACCAGAUGUCUCACGCUACUGGACUCACAUGGUGUCGCGGCCACACAGCUGAGCUCAGUUCUUCCCGCGCGCCACUUGAACAACAAUACAGUACCCACGCUGCCAUGCUACUCAACAACAACAACAUCCUCGCUGCUGUGCUACCACGAGGGGAAGGGCAGCCAGAGGAGGAACCACGAGAGGGAGAGGAGUCAGAGUGAUACAGUUGGCAAUAAAGGUACAAACCUACCUCUUGUUUGAUUUACAAUGUUUUUGAUUUACGCGACCUCUUCAAGGACACAAUACUCGCGUAAAUUGAGAGUUACCUGUGCCUGGAACUUGACUAAGAAUGAGAUCAAGCUUUAGUGGGAGCAGGAGAGGUGGGUAUGUGGGUGAGGGAGCAUUAGCUGUGUGUUUCUCAAUAUUUCCAGAUGCAAAAAAUACACUGAUGAUCAAGAAAAAUGUCCAAUUUCAGCACAGUACAGUUUGUUUAGUAUCAUUCAGUAGUUUCGGAGAAAAAAAUGUUAAAGUUUGAUGUGAUGUAUUUUUCUCCAUACAAUCUAUUUUUGCUACAUUCACUGGAAUAUUUCAGCACGAAAUGGCUUGCGGGAUAUUAUAGCUACACCUGCAACCAUGGCCAAGGCUGCCGAUGUCAUAUAGCUACACCCAUAGUCCAGUAAUGGUUAAACAGUAGCUGCGGGGAUUAUGUUUCUUAAAGGCCCCUCUAAGCGAAUUUAUGAGAAAAAAUCAUCACUUAUGCAAACCAUUAUAUUUAUGUAUCAAUGCAUUUGGGAUCAGUUUAUGUAUCCUCUACUUUGGGGGGUUCAUGUCAAGGCAAGAAUUUGGCCCAUUGCUGGUAUGCGGUAAAGCCACAAAUUUGGCCCGUCGCUGCUACCGGGUUAAGCUCCCAGGAUUAUCAGAUAAGUGCAUAAUAUUUCACAAGUAAUUUUGUCAAGUUUUUGUGUUACCUAAUUAGUUGGCAGAGAAUGUCUCGCCCUUUAUGGAUAAAAAGUGCUUGUGUGUCUCACCUUAACACUGGGUGGGAUACAUCAACACACUCAAGACGUCCAUAGAGGUGUCCGGCAUUAUUUAUCAUGAUCAAGAUCAAGACCCUUACCUCAUAAUUGACUGAUUAACUAAAUGACUAAGAUUGACUAACAUGAUUUUGUGACUGUGAUGUGGUUGCUUAAUACAGAUACUUAUAAAAAUCCUCACUUUACUGUUGCAUACUCCCCAUGAAGUGUCUGCCAUUUUCUUUUCCUACUUCAGAUGCUUAAGCAUAUUAUACCAUGUGAAUUAUUUACUAAUGAAUGCUUCUCUCUAUAAAAAUCAGGCAACAAGAAUAUGAAAUGGGUAAUAAAAACUGGAUCAUAACUACAAGUAGCUGUUCAGCUGAAAUAUAAACAAAAUGGUCAUAUUGGCAUUGGAGGGCUGGGCAGGUACUGGUAUCAAAACAGGUGCUGACAGUACCAACAAUAUGACACAGAAUCAGUACCAGACUGGUCAGCACCAAUACCAGUGGGUACCACCAGUGCAGUACCGUAUUCAGUAUUUUUGAUACUAACAAGUCAUCAUAUGCGUAUAUGUAAUUUUAAUGGGUGCAUGUAUGAAGACUUGUGCUUGUAGUUAGGAUCCAGUUUUUAUUAUCUUAUUUUCAAAGAAUAAAGCGUUCAUUAGUAAAUAAUUCGCAUGGUACUAUAUGUUUAACCCUUUGCCGCUCAAGAAACCUGGUCGGGAUACCUAAACACGUGAUUUCAUAAGCAUUUCAAGCCACCCAUUGAUGACAUACAUGGCAUCUGUUUGUCUCAGCCAAUAGAAGCAUCUUUCGUCACACUCUCCAGCCAAUCACAGCUCCUUAGCCCACCUGACAGUUAUGCUGGGAGCGAGAGAAUGCAUCAGUAUGGGCCGAGAGUCGGAAGUGAGCGGAUUUCCGUAAAGCUGCUCCUCUUCUUGCUCCCCCAACACCUAACACAAUGGAGGUACCAAGGCAGUAGUCUCCAGGCCCACCAGGAGCUCCCCUGCUCCACAUAUCUCCCUACCGAAGUGGUGACAGAGGGAAUCUAUCCCAACUCACGCUGAGCGGCAGGACACCACCGUUCACCACUUGCCUCACUACGUCCUCAUGUAGCAAACCUGCAGGCACUGCAGUAAGAAGGGAGAUAUCCACCUGUUCAGGUGCAACCUGCCAGGCCGCCUUUGUCUAUCAGACACAAGGUAUUGCUCUGCUCCAUUCCACCAGCAGACCCAAUCAGCUGCCCAGUAAUGGAUGUCCACCUUUCCCAAUGAAUGUGGGAGACCUGACACGUCUAUUGCUAUUUUUUGUCUGUACAGUCGCGAUAUGAAGUGAUGUCACCAUGUACGUUUAUUUUCGAUCACGCAAGUAUCGUUAUAUAUUUUCAAGAGUACCAUUAUUUUCCUGUAUCUUCAUCAUAACUUAACUAAAUAUAUUUUAGAAGCUAGAAAAAAAAAUAGAAAAGAAAUAUUCAGUGAUGUCUUACGAAGAGUUGUCGAAAUAUUUUGACACAAAGUGUUUUCGUUCACCAAGGAACAAGUCAAAUGAAGUCCAAAUAUUGAAAUAUUACUCAAACAGAAAGUAAAAUUAUUUUUUCAUGAUCAUUGUUGACAACACUAAAUCUAACAUAUGCACAAUAUAUAGGACAUGCAUAAUUAGUCAAUAUCCUAAACUAGGAUGGCAUAAUUGAUUUAAUUUAAACUCUCGUAUGAUGAUGGCGUCAUCGCCCACGCACCAAACCUAUUAUUCAGCCCUGAUUCACUCUUUGCCUUUCGUAGUCAACAUAACGAUAACAAAACCUUUCCGUGGACUUCUAAUGCAUGAUAGUGAUCAAGGGAAGAUGCCCACAGCCUAUAACUACCGUGGGAUAGUCGGAGAUGGAAAAAUAGGAAUAAAUAGCUUCAGAACAGUCGUGUUUUGUAAUUCCAAGCUCACUCUUUGCCGCCGAUCGCAAAUAUCAUUGCCUUUCUGGGUCAAUAUAACGAUGACAAAAGCUUAUAUAAUAUAUAUAUAUAUAUAUAUAUAUAUAUAUAUAUAUAUAUAUAUAUAUAUAUAUAUAUAUAUAUAUAUAUAUAUAUAUAUAUAUAUAUAUAUAUAUAUAUAUAUAUAUAUAUAUAUACCAACUGUUUUGCAAAGAUAAGCACACGACGUGAGCUAAAUCAUUUCAAGGUUGUCUUCAGUACUGAGGACAACACGUGACAUUCGCAGUCGCUUUUUUUAAAGCAACUGAAUGUAUAAUUGUAAUUCAGGUACUACUAUGUUAUUUUACCGUGUUUUACAUCACAACGUCUUAUAGAUUAUCAUUAAAAGGGAACAUUAUAACAUAAACACUAAGUACACAUCACUUUGGUUACCUUCAAAUGCUCCUGUACGAAACAUUUUGAGAGCGGCGACAUCACUUCAUAUCGCAACUGUACAUAUAAUAAUAAAUGAUAAAAAAGCAGGGACUUUUUUCAUUUGCCUGCAAAGCAACCUAGUAGUUCAUUAUACAUUUAGAACAGUUUAUAAGGAAGAUUUACUUCUAAGACAAAUAAUUCUUAUAAAAAGAAGAUUAUUUACAAAUUUUUAAAUAAUAAAAAUAAUGAAAGAAAUUUUUUAUACCAAAACAGGCAAAGUAGCCCAGACGGGAUGUUUAGAGAUGUUGACAAUUAUCUGCUAAUUGGGCCACUAGCCCAUGUGGUCUACUUUGAUGCAACUUUGCAAUGGAUAGUUGUGUCAAAUUGAAAAAUAUGAGUAAAAAUGUCUUAGAAAGGCCUCAAUUUUAACAAAUUUAAAGUUUUUUUAUAUAUCCUGCAUUUCUACGAGUGCCCGGCAAAGGGUUAAGCACCUCAAGUUGAAAAAGAAAAUGGCAAAGACUUCAUGGGGAGUAUGCAACACUGAGGAUUUUGAUAAAACAUUUGUAAAAAGUUUAUAGUACGUAUAGCUGAUGAAUGAUGCUAAAUAUGAGAUUUUAUGCUGAUUUAUGCAUGUACACAGCGUCCUUUCCUUCAGAAUGGCCAAACUGUCCAAAAGCAGAUUGUGAAUGUUUGGAAUG
Molecule: long non-coding RNA, 6388 nt
Organism: Eriocheir sinensis (Chinese mitten crab)
Lineage: Eukaryota; Metazoa; Arthropoda; Malacostraca; Decapoda; Varunidae
Exons: 2
Source: RefSeq, a predicted model, not a curated record